Molecule: long non-coding RNA, 3917 nt
Organism: Cyprinus carpio carpio
Lineage: Eukaryota; Metazoa; Chordata; Actinopteri; Cypriniformes; Cyprinidae
Source: Ensembl
UUUUUUUAUUUUUUUUAAGAAUUUUAUUAACAGAAAUCCCCCAUAAAUAUUUUGCACCUAGACAGAAGGGGUUCUUAAAAGGGCUUAAAGUGCUUAAAAGGAAGUAGUCAUUACAAUGACUAUAGUCAUUCUAUGCAAUAUAAUAGCUAAGUAAAUAUUACUAAACAUCAUUCAUGACACGUUGAUACAAAUAUAAUCAAACCUAGCAGUGCCCACUUCCUUUACCACAAAGUAAUAGUGGACACUGUAUGAAUAUAAAUCAAUGGCUACAGUACAGGGAGGAAAGAACUUUAUCAGCAGAUAGCAUAUAGACCAUAAUGACCAUUUAGAGUCGACCCCCCCCCCCCCCCACACACACACACCUGUAAAGUAAAUUAAUACAUGUAGAUCAUUAUUGUAGAUUUACUACAUUAGUUUUUUGAGUUUUUUUUUUUUAACACGCAUUAAUAUUUGAGGCCAGAUCUGAAGCAGAGGCAGGUGCUGAGUGGAUUUCAUUAGUAAUGUAUUAGAUGUGUGUACUCACUGGCACAGCAUUUCAUUUCAUUUUGCUUCCACAGCAGCAGUUUACAGUAAAUACUUGCCCUGGACGUACAGUUACUUUUAUGUUCACACACAUUUUAUGCUCACUAUGAUGCCAUGCAAUCCAUCAAGUUCUUUCCCCCAGACUGAAUGGACCAGUGAUAGAUGUAUCAAUAGUUAUACUAUAAAUUACAUAUAUGAAGUUACCUUACAGUUUAGUUAUUUAUUUAUAGUUUUACUUGCAUAUACAUAUGUACAGUUAUGCAUACUAAAUGUGCCUGUUUACAUAACAGACAAAAUAUAUAGUAUAAAUAAAUAUAAAUAUAUAGUUCUAUAAUAUAUAAUUACAUAAUAUCAUUAUUUCAUCAUAUAGUUUCAUUUCGGUUAGUUAAGAGUCAUGAUCAGUUUAGUCAAAAAGACAAACACAAAAUCUAAAGUUUUAUAUCUUGUUACAUAAAAGAUAAGACCAUAGUGAAUGACUGAAGACUGAAGAACGCCCAGAUGCAAUGAUGUAACUUCUCCUGUGGUUAAAUAAAAAGGAAAGGGAAAUGCUUUUAGUGAUGCUCACCGCUGUUUGUUCUGUAAUUCACUGCCUAAUAUAAUGUGGUAUAUUUUAAAAUAUAUGAUCAAAGAUAAUGAUUUGAACUAUUUUACAUCAUACAGCAGUAUUUUAUAAAAUACCAAUGAUGCUACAUACCACAAUCAAACAAUCUUUUCAGCAGAACCUUGACCACUAAGAACAUAUCCUGGCCUAUAAGCACAAAAUUACACAGAUAUUAAAAGACAAAUAUUACACAAAGCCAUGUGUUUAGCUUGUUCGUGGUAGUUUUUAGGAGGACCUCACCUUUGUCUUUUCCGAUAAAGCACAGUGAUGACAAUGACAAUCACCAACACUGCAAAUGCACCCACUCCAAUCCAAAUAUAAACACUCCAGCUGGGAAAACCCACUAGGAAACAAACAAACAAACAUAAACAACACAACAAAAAGGUGUUAGAAUAUAGCUAAAAACACAAUGAACUGCAUCAUUUAACAAGACAAAAUUAUAUGCAAAAUUAAUAACAUUAAACUUUUCUUAUGCAUUUUUUUCUCAUGUUGUUCCAAAGUUGUAUGAUUUUCUUACUUCAGAGGAACAUGAAAGGAGAUAUUUUGAAGAACAUUAGGGUCCAAACAACAUUAGAUCCUGCUGACUUUCAUUGUAAGGACAAAAAAGAGAAAUAGUUCAGAACAUCUUCUAAGUUCCACUGAAGAAAAAGUCAUACAGAUUUAGAAUGAUUUAACGGUGAGUCAAUGUUAACAAUUUUCAAUUUUGGGUGGACUAACAUUUUAAGAAAAAAAAAAAUGCAUUGAUUUUCCAUAUAGAGAAACUGAUUUUAACAUUAAUAUAUCUGUGAUUGUGAAGUAAUGAUAUAUGCUUCUGUAGAAGAUACAAGUAAUUUUAUAAAGUGUGAUUUCAAAAAAAGAAAAAGUUCAACAGAGGCGAAAUUCCUGUGAAAAACCACACUACCCACAAGUUCUUACUAUGAAAAAGAAAAAAAUAAUAAUUCCAAAUGACCACAGCAGUGACAGUAUAUUGCUAUGAAUCACUGUAAGCUGUGUAAUCAAGUGAGUCUAUCUACACACGUAAACUACUUAUAGAUUUGAAUAUUUAGCUAAAACCUUUGCACUUUUGCAGAUUUUUCACAAAUACCUAUGAUGAGAAUGAAUGGGAGAAAUAUUUCCAAAGUCAUUGAAAAGCAGACAGUCACUGUUACAUUCCAUUAUGACUUAAAGGUGGUGGUAUGUUCAAAUUGUUGCUAUGCUAAAGAUCCUGAAAAAGCCUAUUUUUGCCAAUAGAAACGAGUGGCAAAACUUUAUUUGAGCACUUAAUUAGCGCUGUUGUAUAAGCAGCUGACCUUACCUUCAGGAAGCGUAGUCAGAGGAGACGCAUCACCUGCAAAACAAUAAUUGAAUUAAUUGUGCACACUAGGCAAAUAAAAUCUCUCUAGUGUUUUGUUCUUAAUCAAUUUAUAUUGCUAGGCCAUAAACUGGGUUUAUUGAAGAUACCUAGUUCAACAUUUACGGUUAAAAAAAAAAAAGUGUAUAACCCUUUUUAAAUAUUUAUUCAUUCUUGUAUUGCAGAAUUUUAUAUUGCUAAUUCUUAACCAGUUAAUAAGUAUUCUACUGUCAAGAUAUGCAGGCUUGUUUAUAAAGAUUAUCUAGUCAGUUAAAUUAGUAGAUAGUAGUAAGUGUAUUACUUACAUGAGCACUGCUGCUUUUUAUUGAUCUACACAAGAAAUAAAAAAGUCCAUAAUGAAAGCAUGAAGCAAAUCAAUCUCCGUUUGGUUAUGCUAUUAAAUUUAUUAAAUACCUAGCGAUACAUAAAAGCUAAAACACAUCAACAAUAUUACACUUACAUUGGCGCUGGGGCAGAUGAGCAGGCAUGCAAGUCUUUCAGGGCACGUUUGUAAGAUGGCUGCAUUCACGGUCAAAUUUUUAAUUGGGAAUAUGAACUGCAUUUCUCCUUCAGCAUCAAAAAUCCCUGCCACUUUCUCCUGAUCAAGAGAGGGAGAGAGAAGAAAUAAUAAAGAAAGGAACACAGCUGGUGGUCUAAUGGAGGGCUGGACUUGAAACCCAGUCAGCAGUUUACUUAAGCCUGAAGUUCUUCCAGUAAGGUUAAGCAACUCAGCUGUAUAACACAGAACUGCAAACCUGAACACAAAAGCUGAAUAAAAUCACAUAUAUAUAUUUAUAUAUAUAUAUUUAUUUUAUUUAUUAUUUUUUUCUAACUGUGGAUUACUGUGCUGUUUGGAUGAAGAAAACUGGCCUGUGCUUGUCUAAAAUGGACAUCAGCUUGGUAAGAUGCAUUUUAUUUAACAUUUGACUUGACAAGCAUUGAUGUAUCCAAGUAUUCAACAUCCUGCUACUGUACGUCUGUGUGUUCUUAACAGGUCAGUAGAUAUAUCAAUCAUAUUUAAGCUCAUUAUUUGUUAGUUAUAGUAAACACUUGCAGGAUGCACUGUACAUGUUUUUUAUUUGUUUUUUACUUAAAUUGAACUUAAUUUUAAAACUUAAUUUAAGUUAGUAUUUGCUUUCAUUAAACAUAAUAAUUCUCUAAACUGUAAAACAUCCAUAGGAUCACAAAUAUUUAAUAAUGAUAUAACAAACAUGCUCUGUGGCUGUUAGUUUGCCCCUUAUCACAAAAAAACUUAACAUUGUAAGUGAAUGGUUUUUAAUAAUUUAAGUUGCUCAUACUAAAUGGCAAAAAUAAAUAAAUAAAUAAUAUAUUGGAGGUUGAAUUUUGAAUGGUUGAUUUUUUUUGUUGUUGUUGUUUUUGUUUUACAGUGAACUUGCAGGAUGUUAUAUAUUGUAUUAUACCAAGCACGACACUGGCCUUGUUUUGUGUUGCUUUAUGUGAAGU